RNAcentral lists this ribosomal RNA (301 nucleotides) under uncultured bacterium. Its description in RNAcentral is "partial 16S ribosomal RNA". It matches the Rfam family "Bacterial small subunit ribosomal RNA", at positions 509 to 807 of the family's 1533-position model. The record is from RNAcentral.
CAGCCGCCACGGGAAUACAGAGGGUGCAAGCGUUAAUCGGAAUUACUGGGCGUAAAGCGCGCGUAGGUGGUUUGUUAAGUUGGAUGUGAAAUCCCCGGGCUCAACCUGGGAACUGCAUCCAAAACUGGCAAGCUAGAGUAUGGUAGAGGGUGGUGGAAUUUCCUGUGUAGCGGUGAAAUGCGUAGAUAUAGGAAGGAACACCAGUGGCGAAGGCGACCACCUGGACUGAUACUGACACUGAGGUGCGAAAGCGUGGGGAGCAAACAGGAUUAGAUACCCCAGUAGUCCCUGUCUCUUAUAC